This 467-nucleotide long non-coding RNA is filed under the name Arabidopsis lyrata. RNAcentral's name for it is "long non-coding RNA (ALYR_LNC000058)". The record is from RNAcentral. Lineage: Eukaryota; Viridiplantae; Streptophyta; Magnoliopsida; Brassicales; Brassicaceae.
AUCCUUUAGCCCAUUAAAACCUUAUUACAAAACAGAAGCCCAACAUCUUUGUUUCUGUUGACUUGUUUCCUUUGUUGUUGACCUGCUUCUUUUCUUUGGUCACGACACUUUCUUCUUCUUCUCCAUUGAAGCUUCUUCUGUUAUGCAGUUAGUCCUGAGGUAAGUAUGUCAACAACUUCUGGAUCUGGUCUUGGAACAGGAAGUACGUGCUUAGAAGAUACUACCUAAAUCAACAAAAGACCGGACCACAUGAUCACUGAAGCCUUGGAAAUCUCAACAUACUGGUCUUAAGAUUUAGGAGCUCUCAUACUGUUCAAGGAUUGACUGUGCUUAAGGCCUUAAAUAGCCCCUGGUGAUGGCCUACUGCGGUCAAAUCUCAUAGAUCUUGAGUGAGUUUUAUCCUGUAACUAUUCAUGUUUGGUCAAACAUUGUAAACUAUGUUUGAUAUUAAUAUAUUUGAUUUGACG